Molecule: long non-coding RNA, 1220 nt
Organism: Papaver somniferum (opium poppy)
Lineage: Eukaryota; Viridiplantae; Streptophyta; Magnoliopsida; Ranunculales; Papaveraceae
Exons: 4
Source: RefSeq, a predicted model, not a curated record
ACUCCCGCCCCGCGGUUUCUCCUUCAAUUUCUUUUCACUUGCAGCUCUUCUCUUCCAUUGUGUCAGAUCUAGACUUCACUUUUCAUGCCCUAAUUUUAGAUUAAGCUCCACUUUAUCAAUCAGUGUAUAUGGAUUUCUCAGUGACAAAAGGGUAAAAUCUCAUUUGUUUUUCCUUGAAUCCUUUUAGGGUUUUAAAUUAGAACUGAUUUGAUAUUUGAUGUUCAUUCUCUCCCUCCCAUUCUUUGAAUUCAGGUUUAUUAGAAACUCCGCGUGAUUAUGAUAUGGAUGGGCUAACUCAACUGAUAAGUUUGAGUUAAAUAAUAGGGGCUGUAAAGGAGUCUGGCCAUGAUUUUUCUGAUUAUCUUAAUAAACAUGCUUCCAACUUCUAAGUUUAUGACGACUCUUGAUGAAAAUCAAUCAGAAAAUCACACCAAUUGGCAGCUUUUGGGAAGGCAUUUCAGGAUGAAUCUGUCAAUGAGGGGAAACUUGCUCUUGAUUGGGAGACCUUAGAGCUACUUAGUUUGCCGAACAACCCUAAUGCCCACGGCUUGCUAAAGGAGCAACUAGCUACAGCUGCAGAGUACCCUAACACAUCAGAACCUGAAGGCGAGAUUGCGGAAAUAAUAGGUACCUUGACAUCUAGAUAAACAGUUACUGCACGUUAUAAUUGCAACUUCCGCUGGGCCUGAGAAUUAGAUGGGUGCUCGACUCUACUCGUCUUGCGCGAAAUUGGCAAGGUCCUGCAUCUGCUAGCACAAAGAGCUGAAUACAAGGUGGAGAAUGCUAGGAAAGCAGCUAAACUCCUAGACAGUUGGACUCGUAGAAGCUAUAUAGCCGAAUAGGCGUGCAAAAACUAUGGGCGUGGAACCAUGCAACUUUAUGGGUCUCCUGUUUAUAUACAGCUAAACUCCUAGACAAAUUCCUAGACAGUUAGACUCCUAGAAGCGAUACAGCUGAAUAGGCGUGCAAUGGUGCCAGCCCAUUGCAAGGGUAUGCACUUGCACCCUUGCCCAGCUGGCUCCAAAGCCUAUUUUUAGGCCCAAUUAGAAUUUUUUUUUACAUAUAAGCAUAUUUUUGAGAGAUUUUUUGGGGACCAUGGUUUUUUUGGGGGACCAUGGUCUUAUUAGGCCACCUACCUUACAAUGUUAAGGGAUGUCCUAAAAUCAGAUGAGAUUACUAAUUUGGUCCUCAUCCUAAUUAAAUUAACCCUAACCUAAUAA